CUUAUUCUUCAGGGCAGGGUGAGAUUCCCGACCGGCGGUAAAGUCCGCGAACUGCUUUGCAGUUGACUUGGUGAGAUUCCAAGACCGACAGUAUAGUCUGGAUGGAAGAGGUUUAAG
This 117-nucleotide non-coding RNA is filed under the name Gottschalkia purinilytica. RNAcentral's name for it is "Clostridium purinilyticum FMN sequence". It matches the Rfam family "FMN riboswitch aptamer (RFN element)". From Rfam's summary of the family: The RFN element is a highly conserved domain that is found frequently in the 5'-untranslated regions of prokaryotic mRNAs that encode for flavin mononucleotide (FMN) biosynthesis and transport proteins. This element is a metabolite-dependent riboswitch that directly binds FMN in the absence of proteins. The record is from Rfam by way of RNAcentral. Lineage: Bacteria; Bacillati; Bacillota; Tissierellia; Tissierellales; Gottschalkiaceae.